GGGGAUUGGCUCAGCAGCAGAGUGCUUGCCUAGCAUGCAUGAGGCCCUGGGUUCAAUCCCCAGCACCCCCA
RNAcentral lists this transfer RNA (71 nucleotides) under Heterocephalus glaber (naked mole-rat). It matches the Rfam family "tRNA". From Rfam's summary of the family: Transfer RNA (tRNA) molecules are approximately 80 nucleotides in length. Their secondary structure includes four short double-helical elements and three loops (D, anti-codon, and T loops). The record is from Rfam by way of RNAcentral. Lineage: Eukaryota; Metazoa; Chordata; Mammalia; Rodentia; Bathyergidae.